RNAcentral lists this ribosomal RNA (600 nucleotides) under Micrococcineae bacterium 47AAV. Its description in RNAcentral is "bacterial SSU rRNA". It matches the Rfam family "Bacterial small subunit ribosomal RNA", at positions 71 to 682 of the family's 1533-position model. Lineage: Bacteria; Bacillati; Actinomycetota; Actinomycetes; Micrococcales. The record is from RNAcentral.
AUGGCCAGCUUGCUGGUCUGAUCAGUGGCCGAACGGGUUGAGUAACACGUGAGCAACCUACCCCAGACUCUGGAAUAACCAUGGGAAACGAUGGCUAAUACCGGAUACGAGACACACACGCAUGUGUGGUGUCUGGAAAGAUUUAUCGGUCUGGGAUGGGCUCGCGGCCUAUCAGCUUGUUGGUGGGGUAGUGGCCUACCAAGGCGACGACGGGUAGCCGGCCUGAGAGGGCGACCGGCCACACUGGGACUGAGAUACGGCCCAGACUCCUACGGGAGGCAGCAGUGGGGAAUAUUGCACAAUGGGCGCAAGCCUGAUGCAGCAACGCCGCGUGAGGGACGACGGCCUUCGGGUUGUAAACCUCUUUUAGCAGGGAAGAAGCGAAAGUGACGGUACCUGCAGAAAAAGCACCGGCUAACUACGUGCCAGCAGCCGCGGUAAUACGUAGGGUGCAAGCGUUAUCCGGAAUUAUUGGGCGUAAAGAGCUCGUAGGCGGUUUGUCGCGUCUGCUGUGAAACCCCGAGGCUCAACCUCGGGCCUGCAGUGGGUACGGGCAGACUAGAGUGCGGUAGGGGAGAUUGGAAUUCCUGGUGUAGCGGU